RNAcentral lists this transfer RNA (79 nucleotides) under Bryobacterales bacterium. Its description in RNAcentral is "tRNA-Val". It matches the Rfam family "tRNA". Rfam says of the family: Transfer RNA (tRNA) molecules are approximately 80 nucleotides in length. Their secondary structure includes four short double-helical elements and three loops (D, anti-codon, and T loops). The record is from RNAcentral. RNAcentral also lists the same sequence under 1 other name. Lineage: Bacteria; Pseudomonadati; Acidobacteriota; Terriglobia; Bryobacterales.
AGGCCCGUAGCUCAGUUUUGGUUAGAGCGCUACCUUGACACGGUAGAGGUCAGCGGUUCGAGUCCGCUCGGGCCUACCA